RNAcentral lists this ribosomal RNA (253 nucleotides) under uncultured bacterium. Its description in RNAcentral is "partial 16S ribosomal RNA". It matches the Rfam family "Bacterial small subunit ribosomal RNA", at positions 524 to 776 of the family's 1533-position model. The record is from RNAcentral.
UACGAAGGGGGCUAGCGUUGCUCGGAAUCACUGGGCGUAAAGCGCACGUAGGCGGCUUUUUAAGUCAGGGGUGAAAUCCUGGAGCUCAACUCCAGAACUGCCUUUGAUACUGAAGAUCUUGAGUUCGGGAGAGGUGAGUGGAACUGCGAGUGUAGAGGUGAAAUUCGUAGAUAUUCGCAAGAACACCAGUGGCGAAGGCGGCUCACUGGCCCGGUACUGACGCUGAGGUGCGAAAGCGUGGGGAGCAAACAGG